CUGCCGGCGACCGGCGCACGGGUGAGUAACACGUAUGGAACCUGCCCGCAGCAGGGGGAUAAGCGGAAGAAAUUCCGUCUAAUACCGCGUAACAACGUUAGGAGGCAUCUCCCGAUGUUUAAAGAUUUAUCGGCUGCGGAUGGCCAUGCGGCGCAUUAGCUAGUCGGCGGGGUAACGGCCCACCGAGGCGACGAUGCGUAGGGGUUCUGAGAGGAAGGUCCCCCACACUGGUACUGAGACACGGACCAGACUCCUACGGAAGGCAGCAG
This 269-nucleotide ribosomal RNA is filed under the name uncultured bacterium. RNAcentral's name for it is "partial 16S ribosomal RNA". It matches the Rfam family "Bacterial small subunit ribosomal RNA", at positions 85 to 354 of the family's 1533-position model. The record is from RNAcentral.